Molecule: transfer RNA, 73 nt
Filed under: Mustela putorius furo (domestic ferret)
Lineage: Eukaryota; Metazoa; Chordata; Mammalia; Carnivora; Mustelidae
Rfam family: tRNA
About the family: Transfer RNA (tRNA) molecules are approximately 80 nucleotides in length. Their secondary structure includes four short double-helical elements and three loops (D, anti-codon, and T loops). Further hydrogen bonds mediate the characteristic L-shaped molecular structure. tRNAs have two regions of fundamental functional importance: the anti-codon, which is responsible for specific mRNA codon recognition, and the 3' end, to which the tRNAs corresponding amino acid is attached (by aminoacyl-tRNA synthetases). tRNAs cope with the degeneracy of the genetic code in two manners: having more than one tRNA (with a specific anti-codon) for a particular amino acid; and 'wobble' base-pairing, i.e. permitting non-standard base-pairing at the 3rd anti-codon position.
Source: Rfam by way of RNAcentral
AUCUGGCUGGCUUAGUCCGUGGAGCAUAUAACUUUUAAUCUCAGGUUUGUGAGUUCAAGCCUCAUGCUGGAUG